CUAUUUUGCAAUUUCAACUCAAAAGGUACCAUUAUAGUAGUCAAACAUUUUCCUUGUUUAUCUAUACUACUAUGGGUAUCCUAUCACAAAUUAUCACUAAAUACUCUCAAACUCAAACGGCUUUAUCUCCGUCCUUAGUUUGCUUAACUUAUCCUGAUGAAUACCCGUUGAAGAUCAAAAUUAAUUUAAUUAUUUGACCACACAAAUACUCAAAAUCAAAACACACAGA
This 229-nucleotide long non-coding RNA is filed under the name Elaeis guineensis (African oil palm). RNAcentral's name for it is "long non-coding RNA (EGUI_LNC017241)". Lineage: Eukaryota; Viridiplantae; Streptophyta; Magnoliopsida; Arecales; Arecaceae. The record is from RNAcentral.